This 207-nucleotide ribosomal RNA is filed under the name uncultured bacterium. Its description in RNAcentral is "partial 16S ribosomal RNA". It matches the Rfam family "Bacterial small subunit ribosomal RNA", at positions 568 to 774 of the family's 1533-position model. The record is from RNAcentral.
CGCGUAGGCGGGGAUACAAGUCAGGUGUGAAAUCUAUGGGCUUAACCCAUAAACUGCACUUGAAACUGUAUCUCUUGAGUGUCGGAGAGGUAGACGGAAUUCCUAGUGUAGCGGUGAAAUGCGUAGAUAUUAGGAGGAACACCAGUGGCGGAGGCGGUCUACUGGACGAUAACUGACGCUGAGGCGCGAAAGCGUGGGGAGCAAACA